GAUGAGCGCUGGCGGCGUGCCUAAUACAUGCAAGUCGAGCGAACAGAUGAGGAGCUUGCUCCUCUGACGUUAGCGGCGGACGGGUGAGUAACACGUGGAUAACCCACCUAUAAGACUGGGAUAACUUCGGGAAACCGGAGCUAAUACCGGAUAAUAUAUUGAACCGCAUGGUUCAAUAGUGAAAGACGGUUUUGCUGUCACUUAUAGAUGGAUCCGCGCCGCAUUAGCUAGUUGGUAAGGUAACGGCUUACCAAGGCAACGAUGCGUAGCCGACCUGAGAGGGUGAUCGGCCACACUGGAACUGAGACACGGUCCAGACUCCUACGGGAGGCAGCAGUAGGGAAUCUUCCGCAAUGGGCGAAAGCCUGACGGAGCAACGCCGCGUGAGUGAUGAAGGUCUUCGGAUCGUAAAACUCUGUUAUUAGGGAAGAACAAAUGUGUAAGUAACUAUGCACGUCUUGACGGUACCUAAUCAGAAAGCCACGGCUAACUACGUG
RNAcentral lists this ribosomal RNA (497 nucleotides) under uncultured bacterium. Its description in RNAcentral is "partial 16S ribosomal RNA". It matches the Rfam family "Bacterial small subunit ribosomal RNA", at positions 28 to 507 of the family's 1533-position model. The record is from RNAcentral.